CUACGAACUUAACAUCAAGAAUCUGAAAGAGGAGCUUGAGAAACUGAAAGAUAAGAAAACUGUCGUGGACCGACAUGUAGCUGGCCCCACUGCUGGUUCAAUAAUUCAUUGGCAAGACGAAGUGGAAGGCAUCAGUAAAAAGGGCAAUGAAUUUUUUCAAAAUGAAAUGAACGUGAACAAGUGUUUCAACACGAACUAUCCAGAUCCAAUGUUACGUUAUUCCUUGAGCAAGAAAGC
This 237-nucleotide unclassified non-coding RNA is filed under the name Hevea brasiliensis (rubber tree). Lineage: Eukaryota; Viridiplantae; Streptophyta; Magnoliopsida; Malpighiales; Euphorbiaceae. The record is from RNAcentral.